UGGGGAAUAUUGGACAAUGGGCGAAAGCCUGAUCCAGCCAUGCCGCGUGUGUGAAGAAGGCCUUCGGAUUGUAAAGCACUUUAAGUUGGGAGGAAGGGCAGUAAGCGAAUACCUUGCUGUUUUGACGUUACCGACAGAAUAAGCACCGGCUAACUCUGUGCCAGCAGCCGCGGUAAUACAGAGGGUGCAAGCGUUAAUCGGAAUUACUGGGCGUAAAGCGCGCGUAGGUGGUUCGUUAAGUUGAAUGUGAAAGCCCCGGGCUCAACCUGGGAACUGCAUACAGAACUGGCGAGCUAGAGUAGGGCAGAGGGUGGUGGAAUUUCCUGUGUAGCGGUGAAAUGCGUGGAUAUAGGAAGGAACACCAGUGGCGAAGGCGACCACCUGAGCUCAUACUGACACUGAGGUGCGAAAGCGUGGGGAGCAAACAGG
This 429-nucleotide ribosomal RNA is filed under the name Pseudomonadota bacterium. RNAcentral's name for it is "Proteobacteria bacterium partial 16S ribosomal RNA". It matches the Rfam family "Bacterial small subunit ribosomal RNA", at positions 355 to 776 of the family's 1533-position model. Lineage: Bacteria; Pseudomonadati; Pseudomonadota. The record is from RNAcentral.